This 950-nucleotide ribosomal RNA is filed under the name uncultured archaeon. RNAcentral describes it as "bacterial SSU rRNA". It matches the Rfam family "Archaeal small subunit ribosomal RNA", at positions 1 to 937 of the family's 1478-position model. The record is from RNAcentral.
UUCCGGUUGAUCCCGCCGGACCCGACUGCUAUUUGGGUGAGGAUAAACCAUGCGAGUUGUAUGGGAUACCUAAAUUUCCCAUAGCAAACUGCUUAGUAACACAUGAUCAACUUACCCUAUGGAGAAAUAUAACCUCGGGAAACUGAGGAUAAUGCUUCAUAGUUGAAUAGGCUUGGAAAAGUUUUUCAAUGAAAGGGAUAAGAUAAAUGGUUCUUAUCUGCCAUAGGAUAGGAUCGUGCUCGAUUAUGGUUGUUGGUGAGGUAACGGCUCACCAAGCCGAUAAUCGAUAGGGGCCGUGAGAGCGGGAGCCCCAAGAUGGGUACUGAGACAGCGACCCAGGCCUUACGAGGCGCAGCAGGUACGAAACCUCCGCAAUACACGAAAGUGUGACGGGGUUACCCAAAGUGUUCUUAUAGAACUGUGGCAGGUGAGUAAUGUCCCCUGCUAGAAAGGAGAGGGCAAGGCUGGUGCCAGCCGCCGCGGUAAAACCAGCUCUUCAAGUGGUCGGGAUAAUUAUUGGGCUUAAAGUGUCCGUAGCCGGUUUAGUAAGUUCCUGGUAAAAUCAGGUAGCUUAACUAUCUGUAUGCUAGGAAUACUGCUAUACUAGAGGGCGGGAGAGGUCUGAGGUACUACAGGGGUAGGGGUGAAAUCUUAUAAUCCUUGUAGGACCACCAGUGGCGAAGGCGUCAGACUGGAACGCGCCUGACGGUGAGGGACGAAAGCCAGGGGAGCGAACCGGAUUAGAUACCCGGGUAGUCCUGGCCGUAAACGAUGCAUACUAGGUGAUGGUACGGCCAUGAGCCGUGUCAGUGCCGUAGGGAAACCGUUAAGUGUGCCGCCUGGGAAGUACGGUCGCAAGGCUAAAACUUAAAGGAAUUGGCGGGGGAGCACCACAAGGGGUGAAGCCUGCGGUUCAAUUGGGAUUCAACGCCGGGAAUCACUAGUGCGGC